Molecule: ribosomal RNA, 2146 nt
Filed under: marine metagenome
Description: bacterial LSU rRNA
Rfam family: Bacterial large subunit ribosomal RNA
Source: RNAcentral
GCGUAGGCGCAGCGAAAGCGAGUCUGAACAGGGCGUUUAGUUCGUGGGAUUAGACCCGAAACCGGGUGAUCUAGGCAUGGCCAGGUUGAAGGCGCAGUAACAUGCGCUGGAGGACCGAACCCACAUCUGUUGAAAAAGAUCGGGAUGAGCUGUGCCUAGGGGUGAAAGGCCAAUCAAACCCGGAGAUAGCUGGUUCUCCGCGAAAUCUAUUUAGGUAGAGCGUCAUGUCUCACCUCGGGGGGUAGAGCACUGGAUGGGUGAUGGGGUCCCACAGACUUACUGAGCCUAACCAAACUCCGAAUACCCGAGAGUGCAAUCAUGGCAGACACACGGCGGGUGCUAACGUCCGUCGUGGAGAGGGAAACAACCCUGACCGACAGCUAAGGUCCCUAAGUCAUGGCUAAGUGGGAAAGCAUGUGAGACGGCCAAAACAACCAGGAUGUUGGCUUAGAAGCAGCCAUCAUUUAAAGAGUGCGUAACAGCUCACUGAUCGAGAGGCUUUGGGCCGAAAAUGAACGGGGCUCAAGUGCACAACCGAAGCUGCGGCUUGCGCAAGAUCGUUGAUCUUGUGCAGGGGUAGGGGAGCGUUCUAACUGGGUGAAGGGCUACGGUAACGAGGCCUGGACGGUUUAGAAGUGAUUAUGCCGGAAUGAGUAGCGAUAAAGCAGGUGAGAAUCCUGCUCGCCGAAAACCUAAGGUUUCCUGGGCACGGUAAAUCCGCCCAGGGUUAGUCGGUCCCUAAGGCGAGGCCGAAAGGCGUAGUCGAUGGGAAUCUGGUUAAUAUUCCAGAACCUCUCGGGAGAUGACGGAUGGUAGACGUAGUUUGACCUUAUUGGAUUGGUCGGGCUGCCACGCUGUCCCUGGAAAUAGCCCCGAGAUUAGACCGUACCCGAAACCGACACAGGUGGGCAGGUUGAAUAUACCAAGGCGCUUGAGAGAACGAUGUUGAAGGAACUCGGCAAAUUGCCCCCGUAACUUCGGGAGAAGGGGGCCCACCGUGAAGGCAACUUUACGGUGGGGGCACAGACCAGGGGGUGGCGACUGUUUACUAAAAACACAGGGCUCUGCGAAGUCGUAAGACGACGUAUAGGGUCUGACGCCUGCCCGGUGCCUGAAGGUUAAAAGGAGGAGUGCAAGCUCCGAAUUGAAGCCCAGGUAAACGGCGGCCGUAACUAUAACGGUCCUAAGGUAGCGAAAUUCCUUGUCGGGUAAGUUCCGACCUGCACGAAUGGCGUAACGACUUCCCCGCUGUCUCCAACAUAGACUCAGCGAAAUUGAAUUCCCCGUGAAGAUGCGGGGUUCCCGCGGUCAGACGGAAAGACCCCGUGCACCUUUACUGCAGCUUCAGACUGGCAUCAGACGCGUGACGUGCAGGAUAGGCGGUAGGCUAUGAAACCAGGGCGCUAGCUCUGCGGAGCCAUCCUUGAGAUACCGCCCUUCACUCGUUUGAUGUCUAACCGCGAUCCGUGAACCCGGAUCCGGGACCCUCUGUGGCGGGCAGUUUGACUGGGGCGGUCGCCUCCCAAAGAGUAACGGAGGCGCGCGAAGGUGGGCUCAGAACGGUCGGACAUCGUUCGUAGAGUGCAAUGGCAUAAGCCCGCCUGACUGCGAGACUGACAAGUCGAGCAGAGACGAAAGUCGGCCAUAGUGAUCCGGUGGUCCCUCGUGGACGGGCCAUCGCUCAACGGAUAAAAGGUACGCCGGGGAUAACAGGCUGAUGGUGCCCAAGAGUCCAUAUCGACGGCACCGUUUGGCACCUCGAUGUCGGCUCAUCACAUCCUGGGGCUGGAGCAGGUCCCAAGGGUACGGCUGUUCGCCGUUUAAAGAGGUACGUGAGCUGGGUUUAGAACGUCGUGAGACAGUUCGGUCCCUAUCUGCCGUGGGUGUUCGAGACUUGAGAGGAGCUGCCCCUAGUACGAGAGGACCGGGGUGGACGUUCCACUGGUGGACCAGUUAUCCUGCCAAGGGUAGUGCUGGGUAGCUAUGAACGGACAGGAUAACCGCUGAAAGCAUCUAAGCGGGAAGCCCCCCUCAAAACAAGGUCUCGCAUGAGAGCCGUGGUAGACCACCACGUCGAUAGGUUGGGGAUGUACGCGCAGCAAUGUGCUCAGUCGACCAAUACUAAUCGCUCGAUAGGCUUGACCCG